Molecule: ribosomal RNA, 484 nt
Filed under: uncultured bacterium
Lineage: Bacteria
Description: partial 16S ribosomal RNA
Rfam family: Bacterial small subunit ribosomal RNA
Source: RNAcentral
UUUGAACGCUGGCGGCAUGCUUUACACAUGCAAGUCGAACGGCAGCGCGGGCUUCGGCCUGGCGGCGAGUGGCGAACGGGUGAGUAAUGCAUCGGAACGUGCCCAGUAGUGGGGGAUAGCCCGGCGAAAGCCGGAUUAAUACCGCAUACGACCUGAGGGUGAAAGCGGGGGACCGAAAGGCCUCGCGCUAUUGGAGCGGCCGAUGUCGGAUUAGCUAGUUGGUGGGGUAAAGGCUUACCAAGGCGACGAUCCGUAGCUGGUCUGAGAGGACGACCAGCCACACUGGGACUGAGACACGGCCCAGACUCCUACGGGAGGCAGCAGUGGGGAAUUUUGGACAAUGGGGGCAACCCUGAUCCAGCCAUGCCGCGUGCGGGAAGAAGGCCUUCGGGUUGUAAACCGCUUUUGUUCGGGAAGAAAUCCUCUGGGCUAAUACCCCGGGGGGAUGACGGUACCGGAAGAAUAAGCACCGGCUAACUACGUG